CGGGCAUGCCUAUGAUUGGCGGUGUCCUUCCUCCAGUGAAAACUGGGGGCGUGGGUGGGCGGAGCCGGAAGUAGAGCCCAGGCGAGUAGCCCUGUCCGGCUGGGGCGGAGGGAAAGGGGGAGGGAACUAGAGGAGGAGGAGGAGGUUAGCUGAGGCAGCGGCGGCGGCAGCGGCGGCGGCGGCGGCGGCGCAGGGGCUGGGUACGCGCUGGGCGGCGAGAGCCUCAUGGCGGAGGAAGAGAGCGACCAAGAGGCCGAGCGCCUCGGAGAAGAGCUCGUGGCCAUUGUGGAGUCCCCCCCGGGCCCAGUGGGGCUCCUAGCUGCGGGCGACGGCAGAGGGGGGGCCGGCGGCGGCGGCUGUGGCGGCGGCGUCGGGAUCAGCAGCCGGGAUUACUGCCGACGCUUCUGUCAGGUGGUUGAAGAUUACGCUGGACGUUGGCAGGUCCCGUUGCCACAGCUUCAGGUUCUUCAGACUGCACUGUGCUGUUUCACGUCAGCCAGCGCGUCGUUCCCAGACGAGUGUGAGCACGUACAGUAUGUUUUGAGUAGUCUUGCUGUGAGUUUCUUUGAGUUGCUCCUAUUCUUUGGAAGAGAUGAGUUUUAUGAAGAACCCUUAAAGGAUAUUCUUGGCUCAUUCCAGGAAUGCCAGAACCACCUCCGCAGAUAUGGAAAUGUGAAUCUUGAACUGGUGACUCGAAUCAUUAAAGAUGGUGGCCCAUGGGAAGACCCAGUGUUGCAAGCUGUUCUUAAAGCCCAACCGGCAUCUCAGGAGAUAGUGAACAAAUACUUAAGUUCUGAAAAUCCACUGUUCUUUGAACUACGUGCCAGAUACCUAAUUGCCUGUGAACGCAUACCUGAAGCAAUGGCUCUUAUUAAAUCUUGUAUAAAUCACCCUGAAAUCAGCAAAGACUUGUACUUCCAUCAAGCACUCUUCACCUGUCUGUUUAUGUCACCUGUAGAAGAUCAGCUAUUCCGUGAGCAUUUGUUGAAAACUGACUGUAAGAGUGGAAUUGAUAUCAUCUGUAACACUGAAAAAGAAGGCAAGACUUUGCUAGCCUUACAGCUCUGUGAAUCCUUUCUUAUUCCACAGCUCCAGAAUGGGGACAUGUACUACAUAUGGUUGAAGAAGAAGGCCUACAAAUUUGUGUUGAGAUCUGUGGUUGUGCUCUCCAGCUUGAUCUCCAUGAUGAUCCUGAAACUAAAUGUCUAAUUUAUAAAACAAUUGCACAUUUUUUGCCAAAUGAUCUAGAGAUUGUCAGGGUUUGUGCUCUCUCAGUAUUUUUUCUUGAGCGUUCCUUAGAUGCCUACCACACCGUUGAAGAGCUUUACAGACGUCCGGAUGAAGAGUAUAGUGAAGGCAUGAGUACUGUUCAAAACCGUGUUCGUUUUGAAUUACUUCCAAUUUUGAAAAAGGGAUUGUUUUUUGAUCCUGAGUUUUGGAACUUCGUAAUGAUUAAGAAAAACUGUGUGGCAUUACUGCGUGAUAAAUCAGCAGUGAAACUUCUAAAUGAAAAUACACUGGAAAAUCCUUCAAGUAGUCUAAAAAAGAGAGUGGACCAGCAGAGUGUGGAAGAAGAUCAGAGCACUGGAGAGACUGAUCCUGAUGAUGCGUCUGUAGUGCAACCUAAAGGACAGGUUAAUGUGAAGAGAAGCCUGUCUGCUCUUAACACCUCCAAAGUGGAUCAUAGUGUCCCAAGACAUCGGUGCAUGUUAUGCAACAAGGAAUUUCUUGGUGGCCACAUUGUAAGGCAUGCCCAGGCUCAUCAGAAAAAAGGCAGUUUUGCAUGUGUGAUAUGUGGUAGGAAAUUUAGGAACAGAGGACUUAUGCAGAAGCAUUUAAAAAAUCACGUUAAGAAGAUUCAGAGACAGCAGAUUGCUACUGCACAACAGGAUGAUCCAGAAGUCAUCACUUUGGAAGAAAUAAAUGGUUCCAAAUCUUUAAUUUCCUUUGAAAAUGGGAAUUCAAAUACUAAGGGCUUGGAAAUAGAGACAUUGACGGCUUCCAGUGAGAGAAACAAAGAGGUCAUCCGUGAACACAUGGCUGAGUUCAUUAAAAUUCCCAUUGCUAUACCAGAGAAUGCUAUAGAAAACAUUAUUGAAAAUGGCAAACCAGAUGCUUCUUUCAAUAAUAUCUCAGAAUCUUUACCUCAGUGUGAUGAUGACUAUGAAGAGGAAGAGAAUGAAGAUGAUUAUGAAGAUGAUUAUGAUUUGAAUCAAGAAACAUCAGUGCUUCACAAAAUCAAUGGAACUGUGUGCCAUCCAAAAGAUGUAUAUGCUACAGACCAAGAAGGCAACUUCAAGUGUCCUGCUCUUGGCUGUGUAAGGAUAUUUAAAAGAAUUGGGUUCCUAAAUAUGCAUGCAAGGACUGUGCAUCCAACUGAUUUAAAUGUGCGGCAAACUGUAAUGAAGUGGAGUAAAGGAAAGUGCAAAUUUUGCCAAAGGCAGUUUGAGGAUUCUCAACAUUUUAUAGAUCACCUUAAUAGACACAGCUAUCCAAAUGUGUACUUCUGUUUGCAUUUCAAUUGCAAUGAGUCAUUUAAGCUGCCAUUUCAGCUUGCCCAGCAUACAAAAAGUCACAGGAUAUUUCAAGCUCAGUGUAGUUUUCCAGAAUGCCAUGAGCUUUUUGAAGAUCUUCCUCUGUUAUAUGAACAUGAAGCCCAGCAUUACUUGAGCAAAACACCAGAAUCAUCUGCACAGCUGAGUGAAGUGGUUCCUAACCAUCAAGAAAUAGACCCAUUUAGUAAUGAGAACCAAACUAUUCAUCAUCCAGUUUCUACUAGUAAGUCAAGGAAAUAUUCUACAGAACCAAAGACAUAUAUAGACACUAUGGAAAAGAAAACAGACAGUUUAGUUCAUAAUGGAAAUGAACAUUCUGAUGAUACUGUUUCAAAUAUAAGCUUGAUAGACCAAAAGAUGCCUGCCAUAGAGCCAAAUCCUGAAAAUACUCAUAGUACCACUGACUUAGUCAAUGGACACAGUGAAAUAGAGCAAACACCAUUAGUUACAUCAGAUCCUACUCUGAAAAUAGAUAUAAACAGAAACAGGACAGAAAAUGGUUCUAUUUUACCCAGUGUUGAAUCACAAGAACACAGUGCCCUGUCAGUAUCUCAGGCACCAUCCAAACCAAAUCUUACAAGUGAACAGACUUCAUAUGGCUUAAUUGUAACAAAGCCAUUUGUCAGACCUUUGCCCCCCAGUUACCUUGAUGAACGAUACCUUAGUAUGCCAAAACGCAGAAAAUUUCUCACCGAUAUUGUAGAUGCCUGUUCUGAUCAAGAUAACAUGUAUAAAAAACCAGUGAAAAGAUUACGAUGUGGCAAAUGCCUGACCACCUACUGUAAUGCAGAAGCACUUGAGGCUCACCUUGCACAAAAGAAAUGUCAGACACUCUUUGGAUUUGAUUCAGAUGAUGAAAGUGCCUGAUAAUGUCUCAGAACGAUUUGUUGAUCAUGCAGUAGUGUUUAAAAAAAGCACUACAAGAAAAUGCAUCAUCAGCUUGCUAUUUCCCUGAUGGCCUUAAUUUUAGAGUGGUCUCGGAUUACUAAAGAAAAGACAAAGCACAUUUUCUGGAAUGAACUUGCAGAGGAGAUGUGCCGGCUUAGACUCCAAAAGGGUUAUAAAACUCCCAAAGUACCAGUUAUCCAUGAAACCACACUUUAAAAAAGUUUAUGGUGAUUAAUAGCAGCAUGUUCAGUUUUGCUUUAUGUGAAAACACAUUUGGGUAACUAGUCAGAAAUACAAACCAGCUAUGGCCUUACUGAAGAAAGGAAAAAGUUGAUUCAUUCUAAGAUGAGAUGGAGGGGAGCUGGUUUACAAUAAACAUGUAAAACACUCUGAAAAUGGAAUUUGUUUUCUUGUCCUGCAUAUUCAUUAUGUCUUCCCUUCUGGUCAACAUAUUUUAAAGAAUCAUUCAUUGCUCUUUAGUUUGUGAUAUAAUUUAGAAGCUGAUACAUAGAAAUAAAGUUUGAUUUAUGACCAUGCUGUCUACUAACAAUUGUAACUUGUUUUAGGCAAUUAAGUAGACAGGUCAAAGUUCAGUGAAUGGCAUGCCACCAUUGAAAAAUUUAAAACAAAACAAAAACAGUGCUUGGCUAAUAAGCUCUUGAUAAGAACCUUCAAUGCCCCACUUUUGUAAAGUCAGUGAUUUAAAGGCAGCAGCCUUAAGUAGACAAGAAAAGUGCCAUCGGAUACUUUGGGGGUGGUGGUGAAAAGAAUCUAAGACCAUCACAUUCUACAUAGUUGAAGGAAAACACUGAAUUGAAAAAUCUUGAAUGUGAAUAAUGGUAAAAGCACACUGGGAUAUUCCUAUCUGUACAUAUUAGGACUUUGCUAGAUGAUUCAUAGUAAAAUCCUUUAUACAUUAGUAUGAGUUAUCUAAGUAUGGUCCUAUGAAAAUAAUUGGCUUAAAAGUAUGUCAGUUAAGAGUCCAAGAGUUCAUUUUAUUCAGUUAGGAGAAUUAAUUCAAAGUUAAGCCAUACUAACAUGCUUUCUUCAUCAGUGAUGAAUUUGGCCUGCAUAGUAGUUUUUAUAUUUAAGGAAGUACUUACAUCAAAAUUUGCACAACAGGAAUACAGUAACAUAUAUUAAUGCACUGUUGUUCUUGGUGACCAUUCGAAGAAAGAUUUUAACUUAUUAAGUUAUUAAAACAAAUAUUUUAGUUUAAAAAAUCUUCCAGAUAUUUCCCACCUGUCUGUUAUGAAAAGGAAAAUACAUAAAGAUCUCCUUUACCUGAUAGUAUAUAAGUCUAAACGAGACAAAAACAUACAAACACAAAGGUGAAUUCUUUAAACACAUUAGUAUGCCAAUUAAGUGUCCCAGCUACUCCAGCAUGGUUUUGUGUAAAUCAGACAAUGUCAUCAUACUACAAAUUUUAGGAACAUUCUUGAGGUUAGGAAAAUAGGACAUUACUUUCAGGGUGGCAUUCAGACUUUUAAAAACUAUGUUUUCCAAUAAUGCUCUAUCAGAAUAUUUAUUUUUUUAUUAUUUACCAUGGGCAUUUGCAACUAUGCAAUGAUGGUCACUAGUCCAUUCCGAUCAAAUUGAAGUUUGUUUUAGUUUUAUUAUGUAGCCUACAUUAGGCUGUGUAAUUUACGUGAAGAUAACAGAUAAGUACAACUCAUAUGUUUUAAAUCCUUUAAGUUCAACUCAAAAUGUUUUCCAUAUUUCUUGACACUAAAAAUGUAAUAAUUGACUUUUAGUUCAUAUUAAAAGUACAUCUUGUAAUAAAAAUCCUGUUUGGAAACUGGUUCAUUUGCACAAUGAAUUUUUGGGGGAACAUAAUUUCUGCUUUGUACACUUUGCAGUUAAUAACAUUUUACCAUUUUUUAACUUUAUUUUUUACAGGUUGUAACCACUGAUAUAGAUACAAAUCCAUAAAGCAUUACAUUUUCUUAGUUUGUGUGCAAAGAUGUGUUAAGCAAAUUCCGCCUGUUAUUUUAUUUUGUCUUUUAAGCUUAAUUUGAAGGUUUUCUUUUGGCUUUUGUUGCUAGGAGAACAUUUUCCUAUAGAUAAAAUUGGUUCAUAUAUAAUCAACACAAAAUGUCGUGUAAAAUUCUGUUUGACCACAUUUUUCUAACCUCUUUAUAUACUUCUCAAUUUUACCUGUUGAAAGAAUUUGUGCAUUCUAUUUUGUUUUUUCUCCAAAGCAUUUUGCUUUUGUGUAAAUCCAGCAGUUGUGAUUUGUGAUUCAGAAGGGAAGGAAGCUUUCAUCCACCCACAUGCUUUUCCUUCUCCUUGGUUUCUACUCAUGUUUUGAGGAUACACGAACUCCUUUUAAAUGUUUGUUUUACAAUAAUUAUAUGUGGUCAAGUAAGGUCAAGGAAAGUGCAGAUCUGAAUCCUUGCUGCUCAGACACAGAAGAUGCACAGGAAAGAAUCUCCGUGGAUAAGGACACUGGUACUUUGGGCUCUAGCCAUAUUCAUUUUUAAAAAAAAACACCAAUAUAUAACAAACUACAAUUUAUAUCAUUGAUCUGUGAUUCUUUUCCAAUCACACUGAACAUUUAGCUGUACUUUCAUGUUUGGUUUAAUAGUGUAUGAAUGAAAAGCCUAAAAGGGAUGAUAGUGUUUAUUUUUUAAUUUAUUUGGUACUGUCAAACACCUUUUCAGAAUGAGCAAAUGCUGCAUUUGCAUUUUGGUAUUGUUAUGUGAAAGAUAUUACAGAUUCAGCAAGAAGGAAAAUUUGUGCUUCCUUGUUGAACAUUAAAUUAUUUUACUUUGCAUUUUAUAAAAGUACAAAUUAAAACUGAGCCAUUGAACUGCAAUAAAUCAACAAUAGUGUCUCAUUUCAAGAAAUUUUUUGUAUUGUACAUAGAUUUGUUCAAUAAAACAUUGUCCUUGUUGAUAA
Mus musculus (house mouse) is the source of this 6344-nucleotide RNA transcript. It is a transcript of the gene named zinc finger protein 654, with no coding region annotated. Lineage: Eukaryota; Metazoa; Chordata; Mammalia; Rodentia; Muridae. The record is from RefSeq and is marked validated. The transcript has 8 exons.